GCCUCUGGGGGGACACCCUCGCAGGGAAGCUCAAGGUUUUCGUCCACUGCGACAGACCACGCACCAUCUUUUCUUCUUUUCCAAAAUUUCACUGAUAUAAUAUACAAUAAUACUACUAUCUUCCGGUCGGUCGGUCCUCUCUGUGGAACGGUCGCGUCAUGCCCGCUGGACCAAGCGCGCUGAUUGGUAGAUACGAUAGAAAGUGAGAAGCAACGCGUGCGAAACAAGGACAAGCAUAGUGGAAAAUGGCUAAUGGGGUGGUUCGUAUUAUAAGAGGAAGCGAGACUGUAUAAAAUGAUAUCGCGUAAGACGAACGCAACCACGAUAUAAUUUUCAAGAGAUAUAAACUUUUUUUCGUCAAAGUAAUCCGUUGCCUUCUUGUUUUUUCUUUAUUUUAGUGAACAAGCAAAAGAGAAGAACGAGAGAAGUUUAAUGGCGUUGAUGAGACAAGGAUAGUGACCAGGGAAAGACGGUGAAUGAAGGAACGUGUGAAAGAGAUUAUCGGAUAUGUGGCACAAGUACAAUCGCCGCUAACUUCAUGGAUCGUGGUUUAGAAAUCGUUUAAGGUUACCUAGGAUCGGUUCAAUAUACGUAAUAAAUAAUAUGAAAUGAUUUUAUAUUAAGGUAGUCGAAGUAGCCGCUAUCAAAGCGGUACUUUUACUGACGCCCUUUCCAAGACAAAGAAUUUGUCCAAUAGCGAUUCGUGAUCGGUAAAGACAUACUCGUGUUGCCAACUGCAGGUCCGUCACAGUGGAGGGGAGGAAAACGACAUUGUAAGGCCCAACUGGCAAGGCAUGUUCCUUACAUUCAACCGCGUUCAGCUGUAUGUACGCGGACAGGAUCUAGCCAGCUGCGGCCUUCUUCGACCUUCCCCCCACCAGACCGGAAUCGAGCCUUCUGGCCAGCUAUACAAACCGGUACCCCAGCGUUCUAACAAGGAACAUCCGCGAAGACUCCGCCUUCGAUC
Apis florea (little honeybee) is the source of this 967-nucleotide long non-coding RNA. The record is from RefSeq and is a predicted model, not a curated record. Lineage: Eukaryota; Metazoa; Arthropoda; Insecta; Hymenoptera; Apidae.